Molecule: ribosomal RNA, 433 nt
Filed under: uncultured bacterium
Lineage: Bacteria
Description: partial 16S ribosomal RNA
Rfam family: Bacterial small subunit ribosomal RNA
Source: RNAcentral
GACGAACGCUGGCGGCAUGCCUAACACAUGCCAGUCGAACGAGACCUUCGGGUCUAGUGGCGCACGGGUGCGUAACGCGUGGGAACCUGCCUUUAGGUUCGGAAUAACUCAGAGAAAUUUGAGCUAAUACCGGAUGAUGUCUUCGGACCAAAGAUUUAUCGCCUUUAGAUGGGCCCGCGUUGGAUUAGCUAGUUGGUGGGGUAAAGGCCUACCAAGGCGACGAUCCAUAGCUGGUCUGAGAGGAUGAUCAGCCACACUGGGACUGAGACACGGCCCAGACUCCUACGGGAGGCAGCAGUGGGGAAUAUUGGACAAUGGGCGAAAGCCUGAUCCAGCAAUGCCGCGUGAGUGAUGAAGGCCUUAGGGUUGUAAAGCUCUUUUACCCGAGAUGAUAAUGACAGUAUCGGGAGAAUAAGCUCCGGCUAACUCCGUG